RNAcentral lists this ribosomal RNA (459 nucleotides) under uncultured bacterium. RNAcentral's name for it is "partial 16S ribosomal RNA". It matches the Rfam family "Bacterial small subunit ribosomal RNA", at positions 338 to 795 of the family's 1533-position model. The record is from RNAcentral.
CCUACGGGCGGCAGCAGUGAGGAAUAUUGGUCAAUGGGCGCGAGCCUGAACCAGCCAAGCAGCGUGAAGGAUGAAUGCCCUACGGGUUGUAAACUUCUUUUAUAAAGGAAUAAAGUGAGGCACGUGUGCCUUUUGUAUGUACUUUAUGAAUAAGGAUCGGCUAACUCCGUGCCAGCAGCCGCGGUAAUACGGAGGAUCCGAGCGUUAUCCGGAUUUAUUGGGUUUAAAGGGAGCGUAGAUGGGUUGUUAAGUCAGUUGUGAAAGGUUGCGGCUCAACCGUAAAAUUGCAAUUGAUACUGGCAGUCUUGAGUACAGUUGAGGUAGGCGGAAUUCGUGGUGUAGCGGUGAAAUGCUUAGAUAUCACGAAGAACUCCGAUUGCGAAGGCAGCUUACUAAACUGGCACUGACAUUGAUGCUCGAAAGUGUGGGUAUCAAACAGGAUUAGAUACCCUAGUAGUC